CAUGUGGUUAAUGAUGUACACUUUUUUCCCCGUCUUAUCGACCAUGGUGAGAAAGCUUAAAACUAAGCCAGUUGUAUCUGAAACCACAAA
Molecule: small nucleolar RNA, 90 nt
Organism: Gasterosteus aculeatus aculeatus (three-spined stickleback)
Lineage: Eukaryota; Metazoa; Chordata; Actinopteri; Perciformes; Gasterosteidae
Source: Ensembl